UGACCUCGGAUCAGGUAGGAGUACCCGCUGAACUUAA
RNAcentral lists this ribosomal RNA (37 nucleotides) under Anthracothecium nanum. Its description in RNAcentral is "partial 28S ribosomal RNA". Lineage: Eukaryota; Fungi; Ascomycota; Eurotiomycetes; Pyrenulales; Pyrenulaceae. RNAcentral also lists the same sequence under 2 other names. The record is from RNAcentral.